GAUGAACGCUGGCGGCGCGCCUAACACAUGCAAGUCGAACGGCACCCACCUCCGGGUGGAAGCGAGUGGCGAACGGCUGAGUAACACGUGGAGAACCUGCCCCCUCCCCCGGGAUAGCCGCCCGAAAGGACGGGUAAUACCGGAUACCCCGGGGUGCCGCAUGGCACCCCGGCUAAAGCCCCGACGGGAGGGGAUGGCUCCGCGGCCCAUCAGGUAGACGGCGGGGUGACGGCCCACCGUGCCGACAACGGGUAGCCGGGUUGAGAGACCGACCGGCCAGAUUGGGACUGAGACACGGCCCAGACUCCUACGGGAGGCAGCAGUGGGGAAUCUUGCGCAAUGGGGGGAACCCUGACGCAGCGACGCCGCGUGCGGGACGGAGGCCUUCGGGUCGUAAACCGCUUUCAGCAGGGAAGAGUCAAGACUGUACCUGCAGAAGAAGCCCCGGCUAACUACGUGCCAGCAGCCGCGGUAAUACGUAGGGGGCGAGCGUUAUCCGGAUUCAUUGGGCGUAAAGCGCGCGUAGGCGGCCCGGCAGGCCGGGGGUCGAAGCGGGGGGCUCAACCCCCCGAAGCCCCCGGAACCUCCGCGGCUUGGGUCCGGUAGGGGAGGGUGGAACACCCGGUGUAGCGGUGGAAUGCGCAGAUAUCGGGUGGAACACCGGUGGCGAAGGCGGCCCUCUGGGCCGAGACCGACGCUGAGGCGCGAAAGCUGGGGGAGCGAACAGGAUUAGAUACCCUGGUAGUCCCAGCCGUAAA
RNAcentral lists this ribosomal RNA (758 nucleotides) under uncultured bacterium. RNAcentral's name for it is "bacterial SSU rRNA". It matches the Rfam family "Bacterial small subunit ribosomal RNA", at positions 28 to 806 of the family's 1533-position model. The record is from RNAcentral.